GAUGAACGCUGGCGGCGUGCCUAAUACAUGCAAGUCGAACGCAUUUCCGUUAUUUGAUUUAGACGUGCUUGCACUGAUAAUGAUUUUAGCAAUGAAAUGAGUGGCGAACGGGUGAGUAACACGUGGGUAACCUGCCCAGAAGCGGGGGAUAACACUUGGAAACAGGUGCUAAUACCGCAUAAUAGAGAAAACCACAUGGUUUUCUUUUGAAAGAUGGCUUCGGCUAUCACUUCUGGAUGGACCCGCGGCGUAUUAGCUAGUUGGUAAGGUAAAGGCUUACCAAGGCAGUGAUACGUAGCCGACCUGAGAGGGUAAUCGGCCACAUUGGGACUGAGACACGGCCCAGACUCCUACGGGAGGCAGCAGUAGGGAAUCUUCCACAAUGGACGAAAGUCUGAUGGAGCAACGCCGCGUGAGUGAAGAAGGGUUUCGGCUCGUAAAGCUCUGUUGUUAAAGAAGAACGUGGGUAAGAGUAACUGUUUACCCAGUGACGGUAUUUAACCAGAAAGCCACGGCUAACUACGUGCCAGCCGC
This 534-nucleotide ribosomal RNA is filed under the name uncultured bacterium. Its description in RNAcentral is "bacterial SSU rRNA". It matches the Rfam family "Bacterial small subunit ribosomal RNA", at positions 28 to 515 of the family's 1533-position model. The record is from RNAcentral.